GACGAACGCUGGCGGCGUGCUUAACACAUGCAAGUCGAACGGUAAGGCCUUUCGGGGUACACGAGUGGCGAACGGGUGAGUAACACGUGGGUGAUCUGCCCUGCACUUCGGGAUAAGCCCGGGAAACUGGGUCUAAUACCGGAUAGGACUGCGCGGUGCAUGCCGUGUGGUGGAAAGAUUUAUCGGUGCAGGAUGGGCCCGCGGCCUAUCAGCUUGUUGGUGGGGUAAUGGCCUACCAAGGCGACGACGGGUAGCCGGCCUGAGAGGGCGACCGGCCACACUGGGACUGAGACACGGCCCAGACUCCUACGGGAGGCAGCAGUGGGGAAUAUUGCACAAUGGGCGCAAGCCUGAUGCAGCGACGCCGCGUGAGGGAUGACGGCCUUCGGGUUGUAAACCUCUUUCAGCGGGGACGAAGCGUGAGUGACGGUACCUGCAGAAGAAGCACCGGCCAACUACGUG
Molecule: ribosomal RNA, 462 nt
Filed under: uncultured bacterium
Lineage: Bacteria
Description: partial 16S ribosomal RNA
Rfam family: Bacterial small subunit ribosomal RNA
Source: RNAcentral